RNAcentral lists this ribosomal RNA (253 nucleotides) under uncultured bacterium. RNAcentral's name for it is "partial 16S ribosomal RNA". It matches the Rfam family "Bacterial small subunit ribosomal RNA", at positions 524 to 776 of the family's 1533-position model. The record is from RNAcentral.
UACGUAGGGACCAAGCGUUGUUCGGAUUUACUGGGCGUAAAGGGCGCGUAGGCGGCAAUUCAAGUCAUCUGUGAAAUCUCCGGGCUUAACUCGGAACGGUCAGAUGAUACUGCUUUGCUCGAGUACGGAAGGGGCAAUCGGAAUUCUUGGUGUAGCGGUGAAAUGCGUAGAUAUCUGGAGGAACACCGGUGGCGAAGGCGGCAUCCUGGACCACGACUGACGCUGAGGAGCGAAAGCCAGGGGAGCAAACGGG